AUACGGAGGAUCCGAGCGUUAUCCGGAUUUAUUGGGUUUAAAGGGUGCGCAGGCGGGAGAUUAAGUCGGCGGUGAAAUUUUGGAGCUCAACCGUAAAAGGGCCUUCGAAACUGGUUUCCUUGAGUGUAGAUGAAGUAGGCGGAAUUUGUGGUGUAGCGGUGAAAUGCAUAGAUAUCACGAGGAACUCCGAUUGCGCAGGCAGCUUACUAAACUACUACUGACGCUCAGGCACGAAGGCGUGGGGAUCAAACAGGAUUAGAUACCCUGGUAGUCCACGCAGUAAACGAUGAUUACUAGCUGUUUGCGAUACAAUGUAAGCGGCUGAGCGAAAGCGUUAAGUAAUCCACCUGGGGAGUACGUUCGCAAGAAUGAAACUCAAAUGAAUUGACGGGG
RNAcentral lists this ribosomal RNA (393 nucleotides) under uncultured bacterium. RNAcentral's name for it is "partial 16S ribosomal RNA". It matches the Rfam family "Bacterial small subunit ribosomal RNA", at positions 523 to 918 of the family's 1533-position model. The record is from RNAcentral.